Anguilla rostrata (American eel) is the source of this 1332-nucleotide long non-coding RNA. RefSeq lists it as uncharacterized. The record is from RefSeq and is a predicted model, not a curated record. The transcript has 2 exons. NCBI's taxonomy places the organism in Eukaryota, Metazoa, Chordata, Actinopteri, Anguilliformes, Anguillidae.
ACAUGCCAUAGCUAGCUAGCUAUAUAGUUAGCCAAGGUUUACUCAUGAAACUUUUAGGAUAUGACUAAUCUCUGGAACAUAAUUUGCUACAUGCUGAUCCCCGGUUGUAUAUGUAACGCUACGGUGCGCUAUGGGUCUGGACGGUUUCAUGCUUCUUCUGAGCUAUGCGCCCUCAUUGAAAUGCCAGUUGAGGACAGUGCCAGUUGGAAUUUGAAGCAAGCCCACACAGUUCCUUCAGGAGUUGUAACCUUUCUAGUUACUUUUCAUGACAUUUAUCAUUUCUGUUACAGAAAAAGAGUGUGAUACAGAACAGUAUUGUAAUGUGCUUGGUAGCAAGCUUUAGUGUAAUACUAGCAAGCUAAGCCUGUUAAUCCACUGUAUGCUUGAACAUACAAGUAACUUGAAACAAUUUAGGAGACAUUGGACAGUAGUGCUUUGGAAUACAGCUUCUUUAAUUUUGGUGAGGCAAGAUAGCCUGUAUUGUUUGUAGUACAGUAACUUGGCGUCAUUUUGAUAUCAAUACUUUUAAUGGCAGGCCUAGAUUUUGCCAGUUUGAAUGAAUUACUUAUGCACAGUGCUUUGUAAGUGUGAGUAAACAUGACAUUUUUGUACGUUGAAAAUGUGUUUCCCAUGAGAUAUACAACCUAUAUAAUCGAUAUACAUUGGGAGUGAAAGUAUUAGAGGACACUAUGCGCAAGACUGAGAGAGGCAAAUUGCAGAGGCUACUCUUCCAGAUGUAAACCCCCUCAUUGGCACCAAGAACAGAACGGCGAAUUUGCAGAAAAUACAAAAAAAAAAGAUGAGCCUGAGAAGUUUUGGAACAAAGUAUUAUGGACAGAUGAAAUGAAGAUAAACUUUUACCACCGGUGAUCGAAAGAACUGCCACCAAACCCAUUGGAUGGAAGUUUAUCAUGCAAGGCAACAACUCAACAUAAGGCACACUUAACCAAGGAGCUUAUAUGGAAGAACAGGUUGUGUUUGAUGUGGCCCAGUCAGUCACCAGAUUUAAACUCAAGUGAACAUACUUUUCAUGUACUUAAAAGGAAACUGAAGUCUCAAACCCCAGCAAACACACAGGAACUGAAGGGGCAAAAAGCUUGGCUGAGCAUCUCAAAGGAUCACAUCAUGAACCUUGUGAUGUCCAUGAGUCAGACUAAAUGUAGUCAAAUGUUGGGUGUAUGCAGUGAAAUAUCGACCUUGCAGGUCAUUAGUUUGUCAACUUACUCUGUCCUAAUAUUUAUGCUGAAUUGAAAUAGCAUUGCAUUGAAUGGCAUUGUUGUAAUAUAAUUCAAUGUCUGUUUUUUGAAAUAAAAAAAACAUGAAAUAAAUGCA